AGUCUGUUUCCAGGCCGAUUAACGCGGCACCCUGAGGAGUACCCCCGUCAUACUUAGUGCCAGCACCGGCGUUAAUACUUGGGCGCAAACCCUAGUCCGGAUACACGGGGCAUACAGGGAGCGUAGGAGGAUCAAUAAGUGGGAUGUGAAACACUCGGCAUCAACGGGACUGCAGCCGUACAAACCGGACAUCUAGAGUGCAGAAGAGGAAAGAAGCACUCCUAUAUCAGCUGGAAAAAGGCGAAGACAUUAGGAAGAAUACCAGCGGAGAAGGCCCCUUUGCGGACGGUAAAUGCUCCGGAGGCUCAACAGCGUGGGGAACCAACAGGAUAAGAUACCGUGGUCGUCCACGCCGUAAACGAUGAAUACUAGCUGUAGGGCUCGUCACGACCCCUGCGCAGCCGACGACGCAUAAAGUAUUCCGCAUGGGGACUACGGUCGCAAGAGUAAUACUCAAAGGUAUCGACGGGGCCCCGCACAAGCAGCGGAGCAAGUGGAAUAAUACGAAUCGACGCGAAGCACCUUACGUAGACACGACAUCGCCCGUAUCACUCGGGGAUGGAGGAAGCUCCGCGGAUCAGGAACACAGGUGGAGCAUGGUUGUCGUCAGCUCGUGUCGUGAGAUGAUGGGUAAAGUCCCGCAGCGAGCGCAACCCAUUAUUGUGAGACGACUACCACCUACCUGAGCACUCUAGCGAGACUGCCCGGAUUAACCGGGAGCAAGUGGGGGAUGACUCUCAGAUAUUCACGCCCCUACGGUCUAGGGAACACACGCGAACAAGGCCAGGACAGUAAGAUCAAUUCCGUGAGCGGACCAACAUUCUACAGCCGGUCUCAGUCCGGAUUGUAGUCUGCAACUCGCCUACAUGAAGCCGGUAUCGCUAGUAAUCGUGGAUCAGAAUGUUCCCGGUGAUAUAAACGCGGGCAGUGACACCACGC
RNAcentral lists this ribosomal RNA (939 nucleotides) under human gut metagenome. RNAcentral describes it as "bacterial SSU rRNA". It matches the Rfam family "Bacterial small subunit ribosomal RNA", at positions 452 to 1393 of the family's 1533-position model. The record is from RNAcentral.